Molecule: long non-coding RNA, 1468 nt
Filed under: Heterocephalus glaber (naked mole-rat)
Lineage: Eukaryota; Metazoa; Chordata; Mammalia; Rodentia; Bathyergidae
Description: lncRNA (ENSHGLG00100041768.1)
Source: RNAcentral
CAGGCACGCGGGGGCUCCGCGCUCCGACUCUUGCGCCACGAGCACGAGGCGUUCCGCACAAGCUUCCCGAGCGGCGACGCGGCUUUGUGGACUACCCGAGGCCCUGGGGAGGGUGGCCUUUAGAUGAGCCUGUCUCCUGGAAUGCUUGGGCGGUGGCUGAGACGCUUUGCGAUGGAUCCCCCCGCCCCAAAGUACAUGCAGUGGAGUAAUUACAAGACAUCAUUGCCUGAGUCUUCCUAUUGCCCACGGGGGCCCUAACCUGAAGGUGUGGGGUUCGAGGUGGUGCCCUGACAGGUUGUGUCAGCCUGUGGUGACUGACGCUGGAUGCACAUAAGUACUGGAGGAAAAGCUUCUUCCCUAGAUACCUCUCUUAGAACAGUGCCUUGAACCUAACAGUUGUGCAGUCACCUUUUGUGAAUGAAGAAGCAGAUGAAUGCAUGAACACACACCCAGGACAAGCUUUAUGGUCCACUCAGCAGAUGAAGCCAACCCUGAAGAGAAACACUGUGUUCUAUGUCCAGUAAAGCCUUGGGCCUCUUGGUAGCUGUUGGGGUUGACUGGAUGUCAGUUAGCAGGUGUCCGCCCCAACGCAAUGGUGCAGUGUUUGGAGAGCGAAUGCUGACCUUCAAGACCAGGUGGCUCCACAGAGCUGGCUCCCAGUAACUCACACAGCCUCUCCCCUGCCUUGGAUGUGCCAGAACUUCAAAGAGCAAGCGCGGUGACACCAGCGGCCUGAUUGACAGUGACCCUGGCAGCCCUGAUGCACAUCUCAAUGAGGAAGUAAUCAAGACACCUGCCUUGAGCUCUUUCUCCUCUGCAUCACCCCUCUGCCCUGCUGACCUGACUUGGAAACAGCCAACUAUGAACUGAAACCUCUACAAACUGUGAGCCAAAAUAAACCUCUCCUCCUUCAAUUUGUGGGUGUCCCGUAUUGCGUCCCAGCAAUGACAAGGAUCUCACUAUGCAGUUCAGGCUAGCAUUGAAGUCACUAUGUAUCCUAGACUGAUCUCAAACUCGAGGUGAUCUUCCUGCCUCAGCUUCCCUAGUGCUGGGACUACAGAGCAUCCCGACCACCUGAGAUGCCAGUGUGACCAGGCCAGGUGCCCAUGCCAACUGGGAAGACAAGAUUGUGCCUGCAUCCUCUGGUGCCUCUGUCCCACACCUGAGUACUCUCUUCAUGGGGAAACAAGGAAAGGCCUGAUAAGGGGCAGAAUGUGGACAACAUGCAAAACACAUUUCUUUCUCUGUCAACUUGGAUAGCACCAGCAGCGUUGGUGAUUUUUACCAUGACUGACAGAGUGACUCCUUUUGGCCAAGAUGGGCUUCGGUUUUGGAUCCUGUUUUUGUUUUUGGAUUUUUUCCUCUCUUUUCUAGUACAGCUUAAGCACUGCCUACAUUUGGUUUGACAAGUAAACCUUCAAAAUGCCAAACAGUGGCUUGGAGGAGGCCUGAAAUAAACAGAACGUGG